RNAcentral lists this unclassified non-coding RNA (638 nucleotides) under Hevea brasiliensis (rubber tree). The record is from RNAcentral. Lineage: Eukaryota; Viridiplantae; Streptophyta; Magnoliopsida; Malpighiales; Euphorbiaceae.
CACAGUCGCGGGCGGCGGUGCUGCAGAGUGGGUGGGUGAGUAUGGGGAGAGGUGGGGCUGGUGGAGCGAGGGUUCAUUUGGUGGUGAGGACGGAGCCGGACCCGAGGUUUGUGUUUCAGUUUGGAGGUGAGCCGGAGUGUAGCCCGGUGGUGUACCAAGUGCAGGGGACCGCCGGCUGCGGCGGCGGUGGGCGGAGUGGGUGUCUCCGCCAGCCUGUGUUUAGCUGUCGGUUUUCGGCUGACCGCCGCCAGAGCAACAGAUCCAGAUCACUUCCCUCCGGGCACUCCAACCCCUUCACCAUCCGCAGCCUCCUCAGCGCCUUCGGCAGCGAACGCUCCUCCCUCCACCGCCACGACCAGCGCAAGGGCUGGACCGUCACCAUCCACGACCUCUCCGGCUCUCCUGUCGCCGCCGCUUCCAUGGUCACCCCCUUCGUCCCCUCCCCCAACUCCGACCGUGUCUCCCGCUCCAACCCCGGGGCCUGGCUCAUCCUCCACCCCGCCAACUGCACCCCCUGGGCCCGUCUUCAGGCCUGGCGCGAACGCGGCCCAGCUCACGCCCUCGGCUACCGAUUCGAACUCGUCACCGACUCAGGGCCCCACCUCAUCGCUGAGUCCUCCAUCAGCGUCCGAAAAGGC